CAGUAGCCACGGUAAUACAGAGGUCUCAAGCGUUGUUCGGAUUCAUUGGGCGUAAAGGGUGCGUAGGCGGUCGGGUAAGUCGGAUGUGAAAUCCUGGGGCUCAACCUCAGAACUGCAUUCGAUACUGCUCGGCUAGAGGACUGGAGAGGAGAGUGGAAUUCACGGUGUAGCAGUGAAAUGCGUAGAUAUCGUGAGGAAGACCAGCGGCGAAGGCGGCUCUCUGGACAGUUCCUGACGCUGAUGCACGAAGGCCAGGGGAGCAAACGGGAUUAGAUACCCCCGUAGUCCCUGUCUCUUAUAC
Molecule: ribosomal RNA, 301 nt
Filed under: uncultured bacterium
Lineage: Bacteria
Description: partial 16S ribosomal RNA
Rfam family: Bacterial small subunit ribosomal RNA
Source: RNAcentral